GCAUAUCAAUAAGCGGAGGAAAAGAAACCAACAGGGAUUGCCCUAGUAACGGCGAGUGAAGCGGCAACAGCUCAAAUUUGAAAUCUGGCUCUUUUAGAGUCCGAGUUGUAAUUUGCAGAGGGCGCUUUGGCUUUGGCAGCGGUCCAAGUUCCUUGGAACAGGACGUCACAGAGGGUGAGAAUCCCGUACGUGGUCGCUGGCUAUUGCCGUGUAAAGCCCCUUCGACGAGUCGAGUUGUUUGGGAAUGCAGCUCUAAAUGGGAGGUACAUUUCUUCUAAAGCUAAAUAUUGGCCAGAGACCGAUAGCGCACAAGUAGAGUGAUCGAAAGAUGAAAAGCACUUUGGAAAGAGAGUCAAACAGCACGUGAAAUUGUUGAAAGGGAAGCGCUUGCAGCCAGACUUGCUUGCAGUUGCUCAUCCGGGCUUUUGCCCGGUGCACUCUUCUGCAGGCAGGCCAGCAUCAGUUUGGGCGGUAGGAUAAAGGUCUCUGUCACGUACCUCUCUUCGGGGAGGCCUUAUAGGGGAGACGACAUACUACCAGCCUGGACUGAGGUCCGCGCAUCUGCUAGGAUGCUGGCGUAAUGGCUGUAAGCGGCCCGUCUUGAAACACGGACCAAGGAGUCUAACAUCUAUGCGAGUGUUUGGGUGUCAAGCCCGAGCGCGUAAUGAAAGUGAACGGAGGUAGGAACCCGCAAGGGUGCACUAUCGACCGAUCCUGAUGUCUUCGGAAGGAUUUGAGUAAGAGCAUGGCUGUUGGGACCCGAAAGAUGGUGAACUAUGCUUGAAUAGGGUGAAGCCAGAGGAAACUCUGGUGGAGGCUCGCAGCGGUUCUGACGUGCAAAUCGAUCGUCAAAUUUGGGCAUAGGGGCGAAAGACUAAUCGAACUAUCUAGUAG
This 894-nucleotide ribosomal RNA is filed under the name Alternaria malorum. Its description in RNAcentral is "eukaryotic LSU rRNA". It matches the Rfam family "Eukaryotic large subunit ribosomal RNA", at positions 38 to 950 of the family's 3401-position model. The record is from RNAcentral. Lineage: Eukaryota; Fungi; Ascomycota; Dothideomycetes; Pleosporales; Pleosporaceae.